Molecule: ribosomal RNA, 315 nt
Filed under: uncultured eukaryote
Lineage: Eukaryota
Description: partial 18S ribosomal RNA
Rfam family: Eukaryotic small subunit ribosomal RNA
Source: RNAcentral
CCCUUAGACGUUCUGGGCCGCACGCGCGCUACACUGACCAGUGCAACAAGCAUCCGUCCUUGGCCGACAGGCUCGGGCAAUCUUUGAACGCUGGUCGUGAUGGGGAUAGACUUUUGCAAUUUUUGGUCUUCAACGAGGAAUUCCUAGUAAACGCAAGUCAUCAACUUGCAUUGAUUACGUCCCUGUCCUUUGUACACACCGCCCGUCGCACCUACCGAUUGAAUGGUCCGGUGAAGCCUCCGGAUUGGCGCGCACCUCGGUGCCGCCGAGAAGUUGGCUAAACCUUACCAUUUAGAGGAAGGUGAAGUCGUAACA